Molecule: ribosomal RNA, 492 nt
Filed under: uncultured Propionibacterium sp.
Lineage: Bacteria; Bacillati; Actinomycetota; Actinomycetes; Propionibacteriales; Propionibacteriaceae
Description: partial 16S ribosomal RNA
Source: RNAcentral
CACGUAGUUAGCCGGUGCUUCUUUACCCAUUACCGUCACUCACGCUUCGUCACAGGCGAAAGCGGUUUACAACCCGAAGGCCGUCAUCCCGCACGCGGCGUUGCUGCAUCAGGCUUCCGCCCAUUGUGCAAUAUUCCCCACUACUGCCUCCCGUAGGAGUCUGGGCCGUAUCUCAGUCCCAAUGUGGCCGGUCACCCUCUCAGGCCGGCUACCCGUCAAAGCCUUGGUAAGCCACUACCCCACCAACAAGCUGAUAAGCCGCGAGUCCAUCCCCAACCGCCGAAACUUUCCAACCCCACCAUGCAGCAGGAGCUCCUAUCCGGUAUUAGCCCCAGUUUCCCUGAAGUUAUCCCAAAGUCAAGGGCAGGUUACUCACGUGUUACUCACCCGUUCGCCACUCGAGCACCCCACAAAAGCAGGGCCUUUCCGUUCGACUUGCAUGUGUUAAGCACGCCGCCAGCGUUCGUCCUGUAGCCACGGAGUCAAACUACU